UCCCCGAUAGCUCAGCUGGUAGAGCGGGUGACUGUUAAUCACCAUGUCCGUGGUUCGAGUCCACGUCGGGGAGCUG
This 76-nucleotide transfer RNA is filed under the name Allostigmatella aurantiaca DW4/3-1. RNAcentral describes it as "Stigmatella aurantiaca DW4/3-1 tRNA-Asn". It matches the Rfam family "tRNA". From Rfam's summary of the family: Transfer RNA (tRNA) molecules are approximately 80 nucleotides in length. Their secondary structure includes four short double-helical elements and three loops (D, anti-codon, and T loops). Further hydrogen bonds mediate the characteristic L-shaped molecular structure. tRNAs have two regions of fundamental functional importance: the anti-codon, which is responsible for specific mRNA codon recognition, and the 3' end, to which the tRNAs corresponding amino acid is attached (by aminoacyl-tRNA synthetases). tRNAs cope with the degeneracy of the genetic code in two manners: having more than one tRNA (with a specific anti-codon) for a particular amino acid; and 'wobble' base-pairing, i.e. permitting non-standard base-pairing at the 3rd anti-codon position. Lineage: Bacteria; Pseudomonadati; Myxococcota; Myxococcia; Myxococcales; Archangiaceae. The record is from RNAcentral.